CAGCCGUAAACUAUGCGCGUUAGGUGUAUCGGUGACCACGAGUUACCGAGGUGCCGAAGGGAAACCGUGAAACGUGCCGCCUGGGAAGUACGGUCGCAAGGCUGAAACUUAAAGGAAUUGGCGGGGGAGCACCACAACAGGUGGAGCCUGCGGUUUAAUUGGACUCAACGCCGGGAAGCUCACCGGAUAGGACAGCAGAAUGAUUGCCGGGCUGAAGACCCUGCCUGAAUCGCUGAGAGGAGGUGCAUGGCGUAGACGUCU
RNAcentral lists this ribosomal RNA (261 nucleotides) under uncultured archaeon. RNAcentral's name for it is "partial 16S ribosomal RNA". It matches the Rfam family "Archaeal small subunit ribosomal RNA", at positions 748 to 1009 of the family's 1478-position model. The record is from RNAcentral.